UUUAUUUUAACAAAUUAAAAUUGAGGGAUGGAAAUGAAACAACCAUUAAAGUUGAGGGACGGUGCAUAAAAAUUACCGUAAUUUUGACACUUAGACAAGGUCAGGCUUAACAAGUCUUUUGAUCACAAUUUAAAAUUAAAUAGAAAAGUUGAAAGUUUUUGACCUAAAAUUAUGUAAUAAGGAUGGAAUUAUGUUAUUUUUCUUACUUGCAAAACUCUUUCAGGGGACUUUCAUUUAGUCACAAAUGAUCACUCAACUUGCAAAUAUCUCUUAGUGUCAUGAGGUAAAUACAUACUAUAUGCCUUAUAGGAUAGUUGUAGUGGCCUUUUUGCCUGCCAUUACUUGACGAAAAUGGAAGGAAAUCACUGUCCUAGGUGCUACAUAGUUAUGCUGUAAAACGUCAUUUUUUUGUUUAUUUUAUAAAGCAUCAAUUUGCAAAGUCGUGAAUGGAAAAAGUAGAUGCCUUUUAACUACUUGAUUGUGGCACAUUUAUUUUUUUGUUAAUCGAAGAUUCUAUUUUCCAUUCAAGUAAAUUUAGAGAUCUGAUUCAUCAGUCUCAUUGGAAAGCAAUGUAAAUCUGCAAGUUGAUUGGUCUGGGUGGGCUUUUAGGUUAGUUUGAUUUCGAUCCAACUGAAAUGAGCCUAAGAUUAAUUGUUUUGAGUGUAGCUCUAAACUGUAUAAUGUUGAGUUAAGAUUGACUUGAGAAAGUUUAUGGUUCAAUUAGACAGUCAUAUUACCUUGUGUAAUAUGGCUACUUGCAUUUCAAAUGAUUACCUAAUUUACCUCAUGCAUGGCAUUUAGUAAUUAAAUGUAAAUGAAAAGAAUAAAAUUUUAAUUCCUGUGACCUUUUUAUACAGUAUAUAAUAAUAUCUGGCAGUGUUUUUCCUUAAUCCACAUGGUUUGUGGGUGUGAAUCAUUAGAGCAACAUUCUGUAAUUGCUGAAAGGGGACUGGCUCCAUAUAGUGAAUUUGUGAUUUUGACCUCACAAGCUUUAUUUCUAUAUUUUCAACUACUAAUUGAGAAAUUACCUCCUUUUUUU
This 1039-nucleotide unclassified non-coding RNA is filed under the name Hevea brasiliensis (rubber tree). The record is from RNAcentral. Lineage: Eukaryota; Viridiplantae; Streptophyta; Magnoliopsida; Malpighiales; Euphorbiaceae.